RNAcentral lists this long non-coding RNA (840 nucleotides) under Mytilus galloprovincialis (Mediterranean mussel). The record is from RNAcentral. Lineage: Eukaryota; Metazoa; Mollusca; Bivalvia; Mytilida; Mytilidae.
UCUCUGACUAAGUCACUUAUAGACUCAUCGUUUAAAUUGAUCAUUCGUAUACCUUUGUCAUCCCCGAAUAAAUCAAUUGAUUACCUUUCAGUGACUAUGCCAUAAAUGUCAGAAUCCAAUGCAAUUGAUUUCAUUAUUUGUUUUGUCUCCAGGUUUAUUAUGGUAAUAGUACAUGGACUAUUAGAUGAUACAGCCAAUGUAUUGUCUUCUCUGAUGUAUAGUAUAUCAAACGGGUAAUACGGCAUCUUGAUCUCAAAGUCUUUUGAUCCUUUAUUGCUGAAUAUUUUUAAUCUUUUGCCAAAGUAGUAAGUAAAUACCAAUCUAUCAUCUGGCAGUAUGCAACAUCCGAAAAUAGUAUUCCUUGAGUGUCGAUGGUCUUGUGUAUCGUUAGCUUUAUAUUUUCUAUAGAUUUUGUUGGAACGAUUGGAAUCAUCAAUUGGGCUUGUCUGGCCUUCUUCUUGAUCAGAACUAUGUCGCAUGGAUUAGAUUCAAUACGCACUUCCCCAAAACUUCUGAUAUCGGAUAUGAUAUUCUGGAUAGAGGUGUUGAUCUGAUAUGAAAGAGUAUGCUGUUCCUUGCCUUCUACAAGAGCCUGCAAUUUGUUUUUCUUUGCUAUAAACGUCCUCUUCUAUUUGCUUAAUUGAGAGAAACAUUUGAAGAUCUGUUGCGUGUUUCUUGAUGUUCAAUAGGCUAUUUUGGCAUUCUCCUAUUUCUUUUUCUUUCUUUUCUAGCGAGGACAUUAACUGACAAAUUUUAGAGUUUUCUUUUUCUUCGAGCUCGUUGAGUUGUUUCAUUAAAUCUUCUUGUAGUUUGUCGAGAUGGUUGUUGAUUUGUAUUCUG